RNAcentral lists this long non-coding RNA (6801 nucleotides) under Zea mays. Its description in RNAcentral is "long non-coding RNA (ZMAY_LNC004021)". The record is from RNAcentral. Lineage: Eukaryota; Viridiplantae; Streptophyta; Magnoliopsida; Poales; Poaceae.
UCAUGAUACAUAAAUCAAUCUCACAUCUUUAUUACAUAAUAGGAGUUCUGUAAAAAAAUACCUAAAUAAAAUACAUCAUAUGACGAUAUGAUUCUCCACAACCAUAGUUGUCUGGGAGACGAUGGCCUAGAUCUCUCCAAACUCAUCUCCAUGAUCCUUCUCCAGCGGUACAUGUACUUGACCUGGUGUGAUUAUAGCAAGGGUGAGCCCCCAUACGGUCAUCGCUCAACAAGUGUGGGGAAAAGUGUGUAUGAGCUUACUUACGGUUGGGGCUCAUGUGGUGUAAGGCUUACCAAGGAUAAUGGUUAAGUUUGAGCAUUGUUUUUAAAUAAGUUGGUCAACAUUUUAUUAGCAAUUAUUAAGUAUAAGUAUAUACCAUCCCAAAUAAAUGAGAGAUCAUAAGUAAUAAUAAUUCCCAUAGUGCAAUGCAUGACAUAUUAAGUUUAGUUCCAUCAUUUAAUCAUGUGAGUGUCUAAACCGCUCUUGACCGUGAGCACGGCUGAUAUACCAGUUUUACACUCUGUAGAGGUUACACAUCUUUUUACCCACAAGCCGUGUUUCCCGUUUAGCAAGGGUUUGCAAGGCCCUUCCAAGGUGAAUGGUCAGGGAUCCACUGAGGCCUUUACAAAGUUCCGCUAGAUUGAGAAACCCCACUACGAUUUCAGGCAAAAGGGAGUAUAGGAAUCCCUUGUCCAAAAAUAUAUCAUAAAUAGAUUGACCCGAGAACCUCCCUAUACUCUGCAGUGAUUUCACUCCCACUUGCCCCCUUUCGAGUAGGUAAUCCCUCACUAGUUUUCCUAAUUAAUUAGCCAAGAGCGUCCCAUUUCACCCUUGUGGUAGCACUAUCUUCCUGGGUGGUUCUCUAUGUUCUAACUAACAUAGUAAUAUUAUCAUAAACAACAAUUAAGCCAACUAUAAUGGCAAAGCAUGAUCAUAAUUCAUAUGUAAUAUUAAUCCCAAAACCAGGUAGAGCAUAGCAAGACUACCCAAUAAUUCAUUUGUAUGCAAGGUGUAGGGUAAACAAAACUAGGUAACCUAUUAGGUUCCAUCAAUUAAGCCUAACUGUGCAGCAGUGACUAGUAGAAUCAUAAAUAUUAUUAGGUCAAAGAAUGUGAUCAAGGACACAACUUGCCUUAUACUUGCAAUACCAGGUACUUCUCAAAGUUUGGGAUCAAAUUCCUCGUGACCUUGCUUCUACUCGUAGCAAUUGUCACACCCGGGUUUCGGGGCACCAAGACCCGGGCGUGAACAUAAUCACCAGGUGUGCUGGGACCAAGUCUCACACAUAUGAUGAAUCAUGGCAAAGGAUUGAAUGUCACAUCUUUACUAUAUAAUAGGAGUUCUAUACAAAAUAAAUAAAUAAUUACAUUAUCAGGAGACAACGGUCCAGCAACCCAAAGUUGACUGGGAGACGAUGGCCUAGACCUCUCACGAACACAUCGCAGCAUCCUCCAUGCGCCUCAUCCUGCGGUACCUAAUCUUGACCUGUGGGGGGGUGUGAGACAGCAAGAGUGAGCUCACAUACGUUCAUCGCUCAACAAGUUGUGGAGAAUAAUGUGCAUGAACUCGUUAAAGAUGGGAGCUCACGUGAAGUGUAAGGCUUACCAAAGAGGAUGGUUAGAGCUGAGCAUUGCUUUUAAAGUUGGUCAAAAUUUUAUUAGCAGUUACUAAGUAUAAGUAAAUACCAACCCAAUUAAGAAAAGUAAUAACAUCACCUGCGAUGCAAUGCAUAUGACAAAUUGAAUUUAGUUCCAUAAAUUAAUCAUGUGAGGGUCCGAGCUGCUCAUGACCGUGAGCACGACUAGUAUACCAGUUUUACACUCUGCAGAGGUUGCACAUCUUUACCCACAAGUCAUGUUACCCAUCUGCCAAGGGAUCGCGACUUCCCAUACACCUCUACCGAGGAGGCGAGGCAGGGUAACACUACGAGGCCUUUACAAAGUUCCACUAGCUUCAGAAAACCCGCUACAGUUUAUAGGAAGCUCCAAUGCAGGGAUCCCUCGCAUGAUCGCCAUCGCAGCAAAAUCAUCCCAAGGACCUCCCUACACUGACCACUCCCCUACUGCCCUUGCCCCUUUCGGGUAAGGUAGUCCUCCACUAGCUUUCCUAAUUAAUCAGCCAAGGGCGUCCAUAAACCCUUGUGGUAGCACUGUUUUCCCGGGUGGUCGCUCCAUGUUCCAAUUAAUAUAAUGAUCUUAUUAUGAACAGUAAAUAACAACGGAUAACAAAAGUAUAAUCAUGAAUAAUGUGUAUCUCAAUGCCCAAAUCCACAUAAAGCACUAGCAAGUACUACCCAGAAGUUUAGUGGUAAACAAGGCAUAAAGAUAGUCAAACUAGGGUGGCCUAUUGGGUCCCAUCAAAAUUAACCUAUGCAGAUCAUUAUGAUUAAUCAGAACAUGAAUGGGUAAAAAGAAGUGAUCAAGGGCACAACUUGCCUGGGACUUAGAGAUUCCAGGUACCAGGAUUAUCUUCAGAUAACACGUGUCCUCACUGCUAAACGUAGCAAUACAGACAAACAUGUAUAGGCAAAAUUAACAUCACACCAAACAUAAGAAUAAACUGCGUAAGCAUAUUCUACGUGUUGCUACGAGGUCGUAGGAACAAGAACCACUAAAUUCAGAGCUACGGUUAUUAAGUUAUGAUUUUAUGAAGUUAUUUAAUGCCUAAAAUAGAGCUAUUCAUGUGAAUAAUUUUAAAUCAAGUUUCAUGGUUAGACAAAGGUACUUGGUGAUAAACAAUAUUUAAACAAAAUAAAUGCCACUGGAAUGAAUCAAUUUGGAGUUAUAGAUUUUAAGUUAUGAAUUUCUGAAGGUUUUAUGUGUUUUGUACAAGAUUAAAUAUGAUAUAAAUUUUAAUGUGACUUUCAUGUCAAAACAGAGGUACUAUGUGAUAAACAACAUUAUUACAAAAUUAUAGGAACUGGAAUGGACUAAAAAGAAGUUAGUAUGAAUUUUCUAUGAAUAAAAUGAGUUUUUGGAAUUAUUUACAUACUAAAAAUUAUUUUCUAAUUGAAUUUCUGAAUUUCCCAAUGAUUUUGGACUGCACGCCAAUUCCCAGAGAAGACAGGGGCCACGGUGUAAAAUCUUCCAAGACACAGGGCACAGCACUGGUGGACGGCGGGUUGGUUUAGAUAAAUUUCAGGGACUCUUUAGCAAAGUGACUCGGCAAAGGGGUAUUGGCGAAUCAUGGCUGCUGGAUCAUAAUCGAGGGCCCGGAUUAGAUCACGAGUCGUUACGCGUUGUAACGAUCCCAACUGUUGGAUCAAUGGCGAGCGGCCUGGAUUUAAAUACCCUAAAGUCCAUCCUAUUCGCUGAUGAAUAGAUCUACGGUCACCGCGCCCGAGCUGAAUCGUUCUUUUGACUUCUAAUCUCCACCGUUAAACAAGGAUCGGACGACCCCGAGACCCCCACCAACCUCCCACAGCGGAGCGCGGCGGCGUGCUCCAUGCGCGGUGGCUCCCCGCCGGAGUCGAGUUGACUACGGGUUUGUCGAACCGUUCAACCGAGGGAAACGCGCCAAAAGAAAAUUCACACACUAACAAAUCGAACAAAGGGUUCCAUACCUAGGUUUGACGCGGCGCGAUGCUGCUCCACGCCGAACGACUCCCACGCGGCGGAGACAAGGUCCCGACGAGAAAUUCCAGUCGCUGCCGAGGUCGAAACACCCCCAGCCGGUCACGAGCGCCCCCCAGCAGCGCUGCGAAGUAGCCCAAGGCGGCACGGACCCCCCGGAAAUGGUCACGGACGGGAACGGAGCUGGCGGGUGCUCCCAGCCGCGAUCCGAGCCCGAGCAGUGAGUUCCCACGGCGCGUACGGAUGCGGCAAACAGGCGUCCGACGGCGAGGAUGUCCUGCGAGCGCAUGGCAGACCCACAGUGUCUCCCCCGCGAGCAACGAACCGAGGCCAACCCUCCAUACAUCACGCGCUCGUUGAAGGUCCACACAGGGGCGCUCUUUAUCUCUCUCCACCAUGGCACCCCUUCCUGGUUCUCCUUGUGUUCUCGCUGGGCCGCAGGUUCCAAGUCGACCCCGAAGCGAUGGGGAAACCGGGGGAUGGUUUUUAUAUUCCUAAAGCCGAGCUUCACGAUGGGAUGACGACGAAUCGAGCCCGGAAAUCUCGGUUCCUGGCAUCAGUUAGCGCCAGAUGCGGAGGGGGUUUGAGAGGAUAGGGAUGACCCUGACAGGCUGGGCCCACACGCAAGACACUCAGGCGAGAGGUGCUGAGGACAGCGUCCCAGUACGCGCGCCAUCGCCGUGAGGCCGCCCACAUGACCCCACAAGUCGGUGACAGUGUGUAUGUGUGCGGGAUGUGAAUUGGGCUAGCAGGGUGCUCAUGGGCCGCAUGGAUGUGAGCCAGGUUGGGCUGAGGGGGAGGGAAUUCAGCCCAGAAUCCAGUUUGUCCAUUUUCCCUUUUUUUCUUUUCUAAUUCCUAAUUCAAAUUUAGUUUGCAAUUCACACUCAAGGUUUGAGUUCAACUUUUAAAUGCACAGUGAAAACUCCAGCAUGAGAUUCAAGUUAUAUUUGUAGAGAAUAUUUUAUUCAGUUAUUUAGAAAUAUAUAUUUCAAAUGUGAAGUAAACAUAUUGUUGAGAAAUACUAUUUUUGAUGUAAGUUUAAAGGUUCUCCCAUAAUUCAACAUUUAUUUUUUUUAUUUAUUAAAAUUAAAGGGAUAUGUUUUAUGAAGGAUGAAAAACAUUUAUAGAAGUUAUUUUAUCUCAAAUUAUUCGGACAUUUUUUAUAACUUCACAAAAUAAGAUUUUGGGUAUUACAACAAUGCAUACAAAUAAUGAAAUAAUGGAUACAAAUAACGUUACACCAAACAUGAGGAAAACUACGUAGUAAUAUUCUACAAGACGAGACGAGAUCGUAGGUUCGAGAACCACUAAAAUCAGAGUUAAAAUGUGAAAGAUAUCAAUUUUCUAAGUUUCCUAGGCAUUGUAUAUUAAUUUUACACUUAAAAGAAUUUACUCACCCGUGUUUAAGGACAAAUAUAUAUACAUAUCAAAUGUGUGCUAGGAUCAAGUCUCACACAUAUGAUGUCAUGGUACAUAAAUCAAUGUCACAUCUUUAUUACGUAAUAGGAGUUCUAUAUAGAAUAGCUAAAUAAAAUACAUCAUAUGACGAUAUGAUCCUCCACAAUCAUAGUUGUUUGGGAGACUACGACCUAGAUCUCUCCGAACUCAUCUUCAUGAUCCUUCUCUAGCGGUACCUAUACUUAACCUGGUGUGAUUAUAGCAAGGGUGAGCUCUCAUACGAUCUUCGCUCAUCAAGUGUGGGGAAAACUGUGUAUGUGUUCAUUUAUGGUUGGGGCUCAUGUGGUGUAAGGAUACGAAGCAUAAUGGUUAAGGCUAGCCAUUGCUUUUAAAUAAGUUGAUCAAAAUUUUAUUAGCAAUUACUAAGUAUAAGUAUAUACCAUCCUAAAUAGAUGAGAGAUCAUAAGUAAUAAUAACUCCCACAAUGCAAUGCAUGACAUGUUAAAUUUAGUUCCAUCAUUUAGUCAUGUGAGUGUCCGAGUCGCUCUUGACCGUGAGCACAGAUAUACCAGUUGUACACUCUAUAGAAGUUGCGCAUCUUUAACCACAACACAUGUUUCCCGUUUAGCCAGAGAUUCCAAGGCCCUUAGACGCUUCCAAAUUGAAUGGCUAGGGAUCCACUCCAAGACCUUUAUAAAGUUUCGCUAGCUUGAGAAAACCCGUUAUGGUUUAAGAACCACUAAAUCAGAGUUAAAAAAUGAAAGAUGUGAAUUUUCUAAGUUUUCUAGGCAUUUUAUAUUAAUUUUACACUUAAAAACAUUUACUAAAUGUUUUUAUGUAUUUCCUGGAUUUAUUUUAUUUUUUAAUCAGUAAAAAGGACGGUGUUCACUAUUUCUAAGAGUUCGGGCCCUGUAAAAGUUAUGGGCCUAAAUUAAAUUUCUUUAGCUAAGUUAGGACUGCGGGUUGAUAUAUGACUCUGCUCUAUUCGGCUGUUAUAACUCUGCUCUAUCCCUGGUCAUUGGAUCCAAAGGCAACGACACAGACUAGUCUCCCAUUUCUACGAACCGGUACACUCUCUGAUCUCUCCGAUUCCACAUCUACGACGUACGAUCGUCCACGUCUUGGCUUAACAUCUACUCGCCCGAUCAAACUCUGAUGGUUCAGAUGGAUUCAAGCCGAAUGGGUAAAUUAGAUUUAAUCCAGUCCAUCCAUCCAUCCAUCCACAUCCAACGUCCACGCUCUCAUCCCUCUCCUCUGGUGGUCGAACACGGAGGCGCGCACGAUCACCACGGAGGCGGCAAUUCUGGCAACCGGUGAAACAACGCUCUGGCGAGCAACACCCUUCAACAAACAGGGCUACACUAUGUGGAGGUCGCGAUGAACGAUUGGAAAUAGAUCUCACCGAAUAUGAUGGCGAAGAGGCCCUGGGUCCACGGCGUGGUGAAGCUCCGCGACGGCGCUUGACCUCCGACGAGCACGCUCCUGCUAUAGGGUGUCAUUGCUCAGAUGCAGACGGUGCUACUCGUUAAGGGGACAGUGGAGAGCACGAUGAGGGGAUUCCUACCCAAAGAGGUGCCGGUGGUGACAUGGUCCGUGUCGAACUGCGGCUCCACAACGUCCGACUUGCUCCAGUGAGAAAUUCGGCCGGCCCUUAUGGCUCACACUUCACACCAGUGUCUUGACCAACCUCCUUGCCUCCCAAUCGAAUUCCAUAGCCACCAACCGAGGCCGGAGGGACGGCGUGGUCAAGAUCCGGAGCGCGACGUCUCUCUCCUUGCUCUCUGCUCUCUUCGCUACGUGAUUUCUCAAUGCUCGGCUAUUGACGUUGGCC